This 207-nucleotide unclassified non-coding RNA is filed under the name Hevea brasiliensis (rubber tree). Lineage: Eukaryota; Viridiplantae; Streptophyta; Magnoliopsida; Malpighiales; Euphorbiaceae. The record is from RNAcentral.
UGCAACAAAUAAACCAGCAGCAAACUAGUAAACAAAUGGUAAAUCAGCAAAUAAACAAGCAAUAAAUGGCAACAAAUAAACCAGCAGAAAAUAAACCUAAUUGAAAAAGAAAAAGGAGGAAAGGAAGAAGGAAAGAAAAAACCGGGUUCCAGUAGAGUGCAGAGGUGAGUGCUGGCAGGGGAGAAAGGGAAGAAGGAAAAAGAGAAG